AUGGCUGGACACCUGGCUUCAGACUUCGCCUUCUCACCCCACCAGGUGGGGGCGAUGGGUCAGCAGGGCUGGAGCCGGGCUGGGUGGACCCUCGAACCUGGCUAAGCUUCCAAGGGCCUCUGGGUGGGCCUGGAAUAGGACCAGGCUUAGAGGUAUUGGGAUCUCCCCAUGUCCACCGGUAUAUGAGUUCUGCGGAGGGAUGGCAUACUGUGGACCUCAGGCUGGCGUGGAGACUUUGCAGCCUGAGAGCCAGGCAAGAGCAGGUGUGGAGAGCAACUCAGAGGAAGCCUUCUCUGGGCCUUGUGCCGACCACCCCAGUGCCGUGAAGUUGGAGAUGAGGGAACCACGUCCCGAGGGGUCCCAGGACAUGAAAGUCCUGCAGAAGGAGCUAGAGAAGUUUGCCAAGCUGCUGAAGCAGAAGAGGAUCACCUUGGGGUACACCCAGACCGACGUGGGGCUCACCCUGGGCGUUCUCUUCAGAAAGGUGUCAGCCAGACAACCAUCUACUGCUUUGAGGCCCGGCAGCUCAGCCUUAUGACCAUGCAUAAGCUGCGGCCCCUGCUGGAGAAGUGGGUAGAGGAAGCGGAAGACAAUGAGAACCUUCAGGAGAUAUGCAAAUCGGAGACCAUGGUGCAGGCCUGGAAGAAAAAGAGCGCGAGCAUUGAGAACCAUGUGAGGCAGAGCCUGGAGAAUGAGUUUCUGAAGUGCCCAGAGCCCUCCCCGCAGCAGAUCACUAGCAUUAGCAUCACCAUGCAGCUUGGGAUGGAGAAGGACAUGGUUCGAGGAUGGUUCUGUAACCGGCGCCAGAAGGGCAAAAGAUCAAGUAUUGAGUAUUCCCAACGAGAAAAGUAUGAGGCUUUCCGGGGAUGCCUUUCGGGGCGUGGGGUGGGGCUGUAUCCUUUCCUCUGCCCCCAGGCCCCACUUUGGCACCCCAAGCUAUGGGAGCCCCCACUUCACCACACUACUCGAUACCUGUCCUGAGGGCGAGGCCUUUCCCUCUGUCCCCUGUCAUUGCUCUGGGCUCUCCCAUGCAUUCAAAC
This is an RNA transcript of Mus musculus (house mouse), 1040 nucleotides long. It is a transcript of the gene named POU domain, class 5, transcription factor 1, related sequence 4, with no coding region annotated. Lineage: Eukaryota; Metazoa; Chordata; Mammalia; Rodentia; Muridae. The transcript has a single exon. The record is from RefSeq and is marked validated.